GAUGAACGCUGGCGGCGUGCCUAAUACAUGCAAGUAGAACGCUGAAGGAGGAGCUUGCUCUUCUGGAUGAGUUGCGAACGGGUGAGUAACGCGUAGGUAACCUGCCUGGUAGCGGGGGAUAACUAUUGGAAACGAUAGCUAAUACCGCAUGACAACAGUUAUUGCAUGAUAACUGUUUAAAAGGGGCAACUGCUCCACUACCAGAUGGACCUGCGUUGUAUUAGCUAGUUGGUGAGGUAACGGCUCACCAAGGCGACGAUACAUAGCCGACCUGAGAGGGUGAUCGGCCACACUGGGACUGAGACACGGCCCAGACUCCUACGGGAGGCAGCAGUAGGGAAUCUUCGGCAAUGGACGGAAGUCUGACCGAGCAACGCCGCGUGAGUGAAGAAGGUUUUCGGAUCGUAAAGCUCUGUUGUAAGAGAAGAACGAGUGUGAGAGUGGAAAGUUCACACUGUGACGGUAUCUUACCAGAAAGGGACGGCUAACUACGUA
RNAcentral lists this ribosomal RNA (495 nucleotides) under uncultured bacterium. RNAcentral describes it as "partial 16S ribosomal RNA". It matches the Rfam family "Bacterial small subunit ribosomal RNA", at positions 28 to 507 of the family's 1533-position model. The record is from RNAcentral.